RNAcentral lists this ribosomal RNA (579 nucleotides) under uncultured bacterium. Its description in RNAcentral is "bacterial SSU rRNA". It matches the Rfam family "Bacterial small subunit ribosomal RNA", at positions 8 to 589 of the family's 1533-position model. The record is from RNAcentral.
AGAGUUUGAUUAUGGCUCAGGAUGAACGCUGGCGGCGUGCCUAACACAUGCAAGUCGAACGGGUGUACGGGGAGGAAGGCUUCGGCCGGAAAACCUGUGCAUGAGUGGCGGACGGGUGAGUAACGCGUGGGCAACCUGGCCUGUACAGGGGGAUAACACUUAGAAAUAGGUGCUAAUACCGCAUAACGGGGGAAGCCGCAUGGCUUUUCCCUGAAAACUCCGGUGGUACAGGAUGGGCCCGCGUCUGAUUAGCCAGUUGGCAGGGUAACGGCCUACCAAAGCGACGAUCAGUAGCCGGCCUGAGAGGGCGGACGGCCACACUGGGACUGAGACACGGCCCAGACUCCUACGGGAGGCAGCAGUGGGGGAUAUUGCACAAUGGGGGGAACCCUGAUGCAGCGACGCCGCGUGGGUGAAGAAGCGCCUCGGCGCGUAAAGCCCUGUCAGCAGGGAAGAAAAUGACGGUACCUGAAGAAGAAGCCCCGGCUAACUACGUGCCAGCAGCCGCGGUAAUACGUAUGGGGCAAGCGUUAUCCGGAUUUACUGGGUGUAAAGGGGGCGCAAACGGCGAUGCAAGCC